Molecule: long non-coding RNA, 1280 nt
Filed under: Nicotiana tabacum (common tobacco)
Lineage: Eukaryota; Viridiplantae; Streptophyta; Magnoliopsida; Solanales; Solanaceae
Description: long non-coding RNA (NTAB_LNC017870)
Source: RNAcentral
UGACAGUCAUUGUAACCCCGCUGCCUUCGCCAAGUUGCUUGGAAACUCAAAUAAGCUGACGGCAAAAAGAGCCGCCCUCCUCUUUAACCCUUUCUUCUGUAUUCUUUUUUCUUUUGCCUUUUCAUUCUUUUGGUGGCUCUGGAGCCGCGUCUACCUAUUCCCAGGUACUCUCUCUCUCUCUCUCUAUCUNUNNUCNUCUCUCUCAUCAUGCUCAUCGUCAGUNNNNNNNNNNNNNNNNNNNNNNNNNUCUCUCUCUUCUCUCUCUCCUCUCUCUCUCUCUCUCUCUCUCUCUCUCUCUCUCUCUCUCUCUCUCUCUCUCUCUCUCUCUCUCUCUCUCUCUCUCUCUCUCUCUCUCUCUCUCUCUCUCUCUCUCUCUCUCUCUCUUUCCUUUGACUCUUUGCUCUUUGUGGUGACCUCUGCUACUUUUGUUUUUUUCUUGAUGAAUCACUAGUUAAUGAUGGUCUACUGGGAUUUUCUUGAAUUUUUCUGUAAUGUGAGUUGCCGUUGAUCUUUUCUUGGUUGGUAUGGUGAGUGUUUUCUAUGUUAUUUCCUUUUCUUUUCACGGUCAUGCUGUUUUUUUUAAUCCUAUUGAAUUAAUGGUGUAAGAAUAUUUGGAAUUGAUGAUUUAGAAUGUGAGAUGUUGUCUAUUUUUUCCUGAAUCUGAUAAAGAUUAGUAGAGGCAUUUCUUCUGUUCUGUGUCAUGAAACUUUUUGAACUUUUAAAGACUAGACUCUACUCACUAGCUCCUACAGUACUAAUUAGGUAAAAUGCCUUGAAAUGUUUAUAUUAUUAAAUCGAUGUGAAUUUACACACUAGUUUUUGUCAUUCAGAAAAUAACAUUUAUUAAGGUCUUAUGAUAAAUUUUCUGCUUUGGAUUUCUGAAAAUGCUUUUCCGUUGAUGUCUUUUAAAGGUUGUAGGGGGUUUAUUAUUCUUGUUUGAUAGUAAAAAGAAAAAGAAAGAAGUAACCAAUCUUCUUGUCUUGCUAUAAAACACAAGAUGUGCUCGUAGGUAGUUGACAUGUGACACCGGACAAGUCUAUGACAACAUAAGUUUUGCUCUCUAUUGCCUCAACAUGCUGCUACGGAGUAUUCUCUUUUCCCAGUACUGAGCCUGUAAUUAUUAUAAGUGAGUCAUACAGUUGUGGCAGUUCCCAGCUUUUUUGUAAGUUUAGUCCUCCUAUUUUAGAUAUGUAUGAAUUGCUGGUUGUUUCAACCUUUCUGUCUUUCUACUUUCCCCUUGAAGUCUACUGUAAUCGUGAUGGUCGCGCAUUUCAAGACUU